GCUGGGCAUGCUGGUGCGUGCCUGUAGUCCCAGCUACUCGGGAGGCUGAGGCAAGAGAAUCGCUUGAACCAGGGAGGCAGAGGUUGCAGUGAGCCAAGAUCGCGCCACUGCACUCCAGCCUGGUGACAGAGCCAGACUCUGUCUCAAAAAAAAAAAAAGGUUUUAUUUGUUUGUUUGUUUGUAUAUUUAUUUAUUUACUUAUUUUCGAGAUGAAGUUUCACUCUGUCACCCAGGUGGAGUGCAGUGAUGUGAUCUCGGCUCACUGCAACCUCUGCUUCCCAGGUUCAAGUGACUCUCCUGUCUCAU
RNAcentral lists this signal recognition particle RNA (306 nucleotides) under Chlorocebus sabaeus (green monkey). RNAcentral describes it as "Metazoan signal recognition particle RNA". It matches the Rfam family "Metazoan signal recognition particle RNA". Rfam says of the family: The signal recognition particle (SRP) is a universally conserved ribonucleoprotein. It is involved in the co-translational targeting of proteins to membranes. The record is from Rfam by way of RNAcentral. Lineage: Eukaryota; Metazoa; Chordata; Mammalia; Primates; Cercopithecidae.